Molecule: long non-coding RNA, 233 nt
Filed under: Phoenix dactylifera (date palm)
Lineage: Eukaryota; Viridiplantae; Streptophyta; Magnoliopsida; Arecales; Arecaceae
Description: long non-coding RNA (PDAC_LNC018466)
Source: RNAcentral
GGAAUCACUCCUUUUUUAUUUUUUCCCAAAAAGACCCUUCAGCAUUAAAGAAGCAUUAAAGAGGCAUUAAAGACCUAAUUUUUAUUAAGGGCAUAAUAGGAAUUAUACUUAACUUUCCUAGGAAAGUGGAUGGUCAACCAAACAUAAGCACUUUGGAAAUUUGUCACUUUCCCAUGGUUAACCAAACAUGCCAAAAGUACUUUCCUAAGUAUCCUCUUCCUAGGAAUCUGAUU